GUUGGAGUAGCUCAGUUGGUAAGAGCAUAUGUAUUUUCAACCAUAGAGUUGAAGGUUCAACCCCUUCCUCCGGCA
Molecule: non-coding RNA, 75 nt
Organism: Thalictrum thalictroides
Lineage: Eukaryota; Viridiplantae; Streptophyta; Magnoliopsida; Ranunculales; Ranunculaceae
Source: the annotation of a GenBank genome assembly